AUGUGACGGUGAUCUGGCUGUGACAUCUAUCACCCCAUUAAUCACCAGGGUUGACUCAGCUGAUCUGGCUGGCUAGGCCAGUGUCCCCAUCCUGCCUCACCCCUUCACAUGUGUCCCUCCUCAAGCUGCAAGCUCAAGCUCGUCGAAAAGGGUAUUGGAAUAGUUGCUCUCCUCUGCUAGAACCUUCAAACAAACUCUCAGG
RNAcentral lists this long non-coding RNA (202 nucleotides) under Cervus elaphus hippelaphus. It matches the Rfam family "7SK RNA", at positions 3 to 240 of the family's 331-position model. From Rfam's summary of the family: 7SK was discovered as an abundant small nuclear RNA in the mid-70s but a possible function has only recently been suggested. Two independent studies have found that 7SK RNA binds the CDK9/cyclin T complex (known as elongation factor P-TEFb). P-TEFb activates transcription by phosphorylating the C-terminal domain of RNA polymerase II. Lineage: Eukaryota; Metazoa; Chordata; Mammalia; Artiodactyla; Cervidae. The record is from RNAcentral.